GACGAACGCUGGCGGCGUGCCUAACACAUGCAAGUCGAGCGGGGACACAAGGGAGCUUGCUUCCGAGUGUUCUAGCGGCGGACGGGUGAGUAACGCGUGAGCAACCUUUCUCUCAGUGGGGAAUAACACAGGGAAACUUGUACUAAUACCGCAUGAGACCACAGCAUCGCAUGGUGCAGGGGUCAAAGAUUAAUCGCUGAGAGGUGGGCUCGCGUCUGAUUAGAUAGUUGGUGGGGUAACGGCCUACCAAGUCGACGAUCAGUAGCCGACCUGAGAGGGUGAUCGGCCACAUUGGGACUGAGACACGGCCCAAAACUCCUACGGGAGGCAGCAGUGGGGGAAUAUUGGGCAAUGGGGGAAACCCUGACCCAGCAACGCCGCGUGAAGGAAGAAGGCCCUUCGGGUUGUAAACGUUCUUUUACCUACGGUACGAAGAACGUGACGGUA
This 447-nucleotide ribosomal RNA is filed under the name uncultured bacterium. RNAcentral's name for it is "bacterial SSU rRNA". It matches the Rfam family "Bacterial small subunit ribosomal RNA", at positions 28 to 477 of the family's 1533-position model. The record is from RNAcentral.